UACGGAGGGUGCAAGCAUUAAUCGGAUUUAUUGGGCGUAAAGGGCGCGUAGGCGGAGAUGUAAGUCAGAUGUGAAAUCCCGGGGCUCACCCCCGGAACUGCAUUUGAAACUGCAUCCCUAGAGGGUAGGCGGAGAAAAUGGAAUUCCACAAGUAGCGGUGAAAUGCGUAGAUAUGUGGAAGAACACCAGUGGCGAAGGCGGUUUUCUAGCUUACUCCUGACGCUGAGGCGCGAAAGCAAGGGGAUCAAACAGG
RNAcentral lists this ribosomal RNA (253 nucleotides) under uncultured bacterium. RNAcentral describes it as "partial 16S ribosomal RNA". It matches the Rfam family "Bacterial small subunit ribosomal RNA", at positions 524 to 776 of the family's 1533-position model. The record is from RNAcentral.